This 1358-nucleotide long non-coding RNA is filed under the name Vulpes vulpes (red fox). Its description in RNAcentral is "lncRNA (ENSVVUG00000004516.1)". Lineage: Eukaryota; Metazoa; Chordata; Mammalia; Carnivora; Canidae. The record is from RNAcentral.
GCAAGUCUUCUCUCUUUUUUUUUUUAACAUUUAUUUAUUUAUUUAUUUAUUUAUUUAUUUAUUUAUUUUUAAAGAUUUAUUUAUUUAUUCAUAGAGACACACACACACACAGAGGCAGAGACACAUGCAGAGGGAGAAGCAGGCUCCAUGCAGAGAGCCCGAUGUGGGACUCGAUCCCCGGAUCUCUAGGAUCACACCCUGGGCCAAAGGCAGGCGCUAAACUGCUGUGCCACCCGGGCUGCCCUGCAAGUCUUCUCUACCCAUUGCAUACUUUAGUUACAAAUUAAAAAACAGCAUAAUCCCAACUGCAUCUUUAAGAGAAGUGCAAAUUCAAUAUGUUAUUACCCAAUACUAGAGGCAGCUGAUAUAUAUGUCUGUCUACCUAUCUGUCAUCUUUUAUUUUCUCCCUCACAUUACAGGAGUAUCAUCUGGAGGCAGGAGUAAAUAUUAUCUGCUGUGUUAAACAGAAAGGUCAUUCAUCAAUCUGAAUAUUUUUGUGGUGGAGGAGAAAUAAUCAUAUCCUGCAGUUCCAACCCAAGAAAAUCCCACACAUUUCUCAGAAGCCUGGGUGUGUGAAGACAGCAUUGAAUGACACGUUCACUCUCAGUUGUCUGCAGGCUUCACUACAAAGGCACUGCUCCCAGGAUAAAAGGAAAAGAUACCUGCCAUACUUCCAAGUGGAAAGUGUGAGGCGUAAGCUAAUUAAUUGUAAGGAUAAGAAGGAUAUCCCAAAGAGCAAGUCUUGUAAGUUUUAUUGGAUACCUCUGGUUUGGAAUUAUUUGUGGUAAGCAGAAUUUUAAGAUGCCUCCCCACCUCCAGACUUCCUGCCCUAAUCUCUGAAUACGUUAAUGUAAUACAUUAUUAUUCCCACAGUUAUGUAUGUACUUAAGGUUGGUGAUCAAUUGACCUUGAGUUAAUCCAAAGGGUAUUUAUCUGGGUAGACCUUAGUCUAAUUACAGGAGCCCUUUAUAAGCAGAGACUUUUCUCUGGUUGGUAGCAGAAGAAGUCAGUGAGAUUCCAAGCCUGAGGUGGACUCAACAUGCCUUGUUACUUUAGAAGAUGGAGGGAGCUAAUUGGCAAGGAUGUGAGUGGACUCUAGAGGCUGAAAGUAGCCUUCCCUUUUACUACCCCCAUCCCACAUCCAGCAAGAAAGCUUCUAUGUCAGUCUUACAACUUUAAGGAAUUGAACUCUGCCAGCAACUUGAAUGUGCUUAGAAGUGAAUUUUUCCCCAGAGGUGCCUGGCGGGUAACUUGAUUUUGGCCUUGUGAGAUCCUAAGCAGAGGAUAUAGUCUGGCCUGCCUAGAGACUGACCUACAGAACUAUGAGCUAAUAAACAGAUGCCAUAAUUGGUUAGGCA